UCUUUUAAAUUUGUGCAAUACAAAUAGUUAAUUCAUGGUACGCUUGAGAAAAAUAAAAGUUUCAAGCAGCUCAUUAGUCAGCAAUACAAUCUCCAUUGAAUUAAUUUUAUAAACUAUAUGAUUUUGAAAUUUUCUACAUAACUGACUAAAUUUAUUAUAUCUUAUAAAUCCAAUAAUACGUAUUUUUAAAAAUAUAUGAUUAUUUUAGGAGUUGGUCGUGAGAAUCAAGAGCUUAGCGAUGACAGUGAAACUCAAUCUGACAGCACUAAUCUGAUCAGUUCCUCGACGGAUUACUCUGAUACGGAAUAUGAAAAUAGCGGUGAUAAGAAAUUGAUUUAAAAUGGUGACGACACUCUAUAUCCUGGAGCACUUUUAAUAAUAGUAGAAAGUAUUUUGUCAAUUUUUUCGCUUACGACACGAUUUGAAAUCACAGGAGCUUUAAUGACAGCUAUUCUGGAGAUAAUAGAGGCGCAUUUCAUUCGACCGAAUUAUUGCGUCAAAACUAUUUAUAAAUUAAAACAGUUUUUUGCGAAUAUUUCAUGUUCUUUAGUUAAACAUUUUUAUUGAACAAGAUGUUUAGAAAAAAUAGAAAAUGAAUGCAACAACUGCCUCGGUAUUGAAAAUCCAAAAAUAGAUUACUUUUUAGAAAUACAGAUAACAACGCAAUUAGAAUCAUUUCUAAAGCGCAAAAACUUGAAACAAAAUUUAAAUUACCAAUUCACACGAGUAAAACAACAUGUGAAUAAUUAUGAAAUAAUAAUUAUGAAAUAAUAUAUAUGAUGGAUCAACUUAUCAAUCAUUAUCGUGAGAGUACACAGAUAAUCCAAAUAAUAUUACUUUUACGUGGAAUCCAGAUGGAGUGCCUAUUUUUAAUUCUUCAAAAUAUAGUAUAUGGCCGUUAUAUUUAGUUACUAAUGAAUUGCCAUACCACUUGAGAAUAAAAAAAGAAAAUGAUUUUCUGGCUAGUUUAUGGUUCAGUGAUAAAAAACCAUCACCAAAUUUAUUCUUGCCUGUGUUUGAAAAUGACCAUGCCAAGCUUUACAGGGGGAAAUAUUUCAAAAUCCAUAAUGAAUAAAAUCUUAUCAAAAUUCGAGAAAUGAUACUUACCGGAACUUGUGACUUACAAGCCAAAGCUAGAUUUUUAAACUUGUUCCAAUAUAACGGGAGAUACGGAUGCAAUAACUGCGGAAUACAAACGGUUAGAGUUGACAAUGUACAAACGUAUCCAUUUGUUGAAAAUUUAGACAUUUUAGAGAGAACUGUGGAACAAACAAAAGAAUAUACUGCGCAAGCUCUUGACACAGAUGUACCUGUUAAUGGUGUAAAAGGGCCUACUGCAUUAAACUUACUAGUACCUAACUAUAUAGAAUCAACGGCUAUUGAUGAAAUGUAUAAUACGUAUCAAGGGGUUGUAACAAAUUUAAUGAAAUUUUUUUUUUUGACAUCGAUUAUAAUAUUCAUCCUGUAUCUUUAAUUCAUUUCGCCAAUAUUAUUGAUCGACAAAUAAAACAGUUGACUCUUCCAUCAUUUAUUCAACGAUUGCCUCGCAGUGUAUUGGAUUACGCUUUCUGGAAGGCCUCGGAAUUAAAAUCAUUUCUAUUAGUGUAUAGUUUACUUAUACUUCAAGAUUUUAUGAAUGAGGAUUACUUUCAGCACCACAUCUUGCUUGUGUACGGAAUGACUAUAAUGAAUUUAGAGAGCAUCAACAGUCAGAUGCUCAUAGAUGCUCAAGAGGCGUUAGACGAUUAUGUCAGGCAAUUCGAGUAUUUAUACAGCGAUAGAUAUCAUACAUGCAACUUGGAUCUUAUUUGUCAUCUUUCUCAAGUCAGAAAAUUCGUCCACCUUUUCUUUACUUCUAUUUUUCCUUUUGAAAACUAUAAUGCUCUUUUAUUAUGUUUAACUCGCAAAACUGCAAGUAUGUUUAGUGAUAGAGGAGGUCGUGAUAAAGGACAUUUUGGAAAUGUAACAUCUUCUAAUUCUGAACGAAUCAACUCAAGUGAAAAAGGAGGAUGUUACUGGAUGCGAAGAAGCUAAAAUUGAAAUCAUGGAGUUUGGUAAUUUUCUGAAAAAUCUUCAAGAAUAUUUCAACUUUGGAAUCAAAAUUGUCAAAGCAUCAUAUGUAUAAUUUUUAAGGUCCCUCUGAUACCUAUAAAAUUUUGUUAGCAAAAGCUACUGCCGGAGAAGCAGACGCGCCGUUACUAAAGGUGUCUGGUUCAGAAUUUCUCGAAAUAUUUGUGGGUGUUGGAAAUUCUCGUGUCAGAGAAAUGUUUGUGGUAGCAUUUUCUUUGACACAUUCAGACAUAGUGAGAAAUGAGGAAUGGCUUCACAUAAAUUUUACAAGUACCUUACAACCUGUUGAUACUGGAGAAGAAAUUACAGAUUUUGUGUGUUGCAAAAUACAGUUGAUUAUAGCAAAUAAUACAUCAAAAAGCAAAUAAAGAUUCACAGUCUUUCAAAGGAAUUUCAUUCAAAUUCCAUCAGUAUUCCAAAAUACCCAAAGAUGAUAAGCUUGUAAAUUAUUAUUCGUGCUGUUAUUGGAAGAAAAAAAUACCAAAGCAAGGAUAGUUGUAUUUAUUUGUAAAUCAUAUGUUUUUUAUGCUUAUAUUCUGUCAAAGAAAACGAAAUUAGUUAUUAGAUGGGAAGAUAUCUUAGAGUUGGAAAAAACAAUUUCCUUUGUAUUACCUGACAAUAUUCGUAUAGUUAUGCGUAAUAAUAAAGAGCAUUAUUUUUCAAUAUUUCUUCACAAAUCUGAAAUGUACUCAUUGAUGGAGCAGUUGACGAAUCUCGCGAUGAAAUGACUCGUAGAUAAUAUAAAGUGGUUUCAAUGAAGAUAGAGAUUUUCUUAAAAAUUGAGUAAGACUGUGCCUAGAAAACUUUCGUUUUUUCAACGAGAUCUCGAUGCAAAACUCCUCAUUGCGGGUAUACCACAAAAUCUUCGUGGAAAAGUUUGGCUGACAUUUUUCCGGACUUAAAUGAGAUGGUAAUAAAUACUGGAUUAUAUAAGUCACUUGUCGAUCAAUCGAUAGGAAAAUCGUAUCAAGCUAAUGAAGAAAUCGAAAGAGAUCUACAUCGAUCUUUACGGGAACAUCCAGCUUUUUAAUCGGAAACUGAAAUUAGUUAGUAUGAUUGUCAUUGUUAUCGUCAGCAACGUUGCUCAAGUAGCCGCUGAAACAACGGAUGAAGCAAAAUUUUUCAGAAGUACUAAUUAGUCUGGCGGAAGAACUUAUCAAUACUCCAUCUCGGUUAACAAGCAUAAACAUCCACGCAGGUAAUCAGUCUUGUGAGGAACCAAGCAUGGGUAGCUCGUACUUGAUAUUUUAUAACUAUUUAGUAUCAUUUAUCAUUGACUAUUUUGUAAUGACUGGCAUUUUCUGAAUUUCGUUGAAAUGAUUAGGAGUAUAAUUAUUCAAUGUAAUUUGGUACAUUCUGAACAUCAAUUUCUCUUUUAUAAGUCAAUUCAAUUUUAUUUUUUGCGUUAAAUUAAUUUUUGUUCAUCAUAUCAAUAUUUGAAUUGUGCAAGUAUGAUACACUCAAAGUGUUUUGUAGGAUU
This is a long non-coding RNA of Phymastichus coffea, 3550 nucleotides long. RefSeq lists it as uncharacterized. The transcript has 11 exons. The record is from RefSeq and is a predicted model, not a curated record. NCBI's taxonomy places the organism in Eukaryota, Metazoa, Arthropoda, Insecta, Hymenoptera, Eulophidae.